Molecule: ribosomal RNA, 888 nt
Filed under: uncultured bacterium
Lineage: Bacteria
Description: bacterial SSU rRNA
Rfam family: Bacterial small subunit ribosomal RNA
Source: RNAcentral
GACGAACGCUGGCGGCGUGCCUAACACAUGCAAGUCGAACGGAGUAUUCAGCAAUGGAUACUUAGUGGCGAACGGGUGAGUAACGCGUAGACAACCUACCUUCUAGAUGGGGACAACAUUCCGAAAGGAAUGCUAAUACCGAAUGUAGUAUUUGAGGCACCUGCCUUAAAUACCAAAGGUGGCCUCUGAAUAUGCUACCGCUAGAAGAUGGGUCUGCGUCUGAUUAGCUAGUUGGUGAGGUAAUGGCUCACCAAGGCGACGAUCAGUAGCCGGUCUGAGAGGAUGAACGGCCACGCUGGGACUGAGACACGGCCCAAACUCCUACGGGAGGCAGCAGUGGGGAAUCUUCCGCAAUGGACGAAAGUCUGACGGAGCAACGCCGCGUGAGUGAAGAAGGUUCUUGGAUCGUAAAGCUCUGUCUUCAGGGACGAAUGUUAUCCUUGUGAAUAAUGAGGGUAAAUGACGGUACCUGAGGAGGAAGCCACGGCUAACUACGUGCCAGCAGCCGCGGUAAUACGUAGGUGGCGAGCGUUGUCCGGAAUUAUUGGGCGUAAAGAGCGCGUAGGCGGGAUGAUAAGUCUGUUGUAAAAGUGCGGGGCUCAACCCCGUAAGGUCAAUGGAAACUGUCAUUCUUGAGUGCAGGAGAGGAAAGUGGAAUUCCCAGUGUAGCGGUGAAAUGCGUAGAUAUUGGGAGGAACACCAGUGGCGAAGGCGACUUUCUGGACUGUGUCUGACGCUGAGGCGCGAAAGCUAGGGGAGCGAACGGGAUUAGAUACCCCGGUAGUCCUAGCCGUAAACGAUGGGUACUAGGUGUAGGAGGUAUCGACCCCUUCUGUGCCGGAGUUAACGCAAUAAGUACCCCGCCUGGGGAGUACGGCCGCAAGGUUG